Cannabis sativa is the source of this 4786-nucleotide long non-coding RNA. RefSeq lists it as uncharacterized. NCBI's taxonomy places the organism in Eukaryota, Viridiplantae, Streptophyta, Magnoliopsida, Rosales, Cannabaceae. The record is from RefSeq and is a predicted model, not a curated record. The transcript is spliced from 11 exons.
CAAUUAACAUCUUCAACUUGUAGUCUUUUAUUAAGAAUCGCGAUGGUCGGGAGGGCUUUAGACAAUAUACACCAUUAAAAAAUCUUAUGCCUCUCUAAAAUUUUACUAUUCUAGAGUUUAUUCCACAUGGACGGGGCAACCUCACACAGUGGAGCUCUAUGUAAAGCUUGAACUAUUGGGAUUUUAUGCCCUAAAUAAAACUCAUUUUAAUAUAAUCUUAUUUGUUAUUAAUAGAAGAUUAGAAGUCAUUUAUUUUUACAUGUAUUAUUUAUGUUUAUGGUUUAAUAUACAAUUUUUGCUAAAUUCAGAAUAUAUUAUAAUUCACAAUUACAGUAAUCACAACACAAUGGAAGGUAAUUGUGAUUAUAUGCUUCAAAAGUUUAUGUCCCAUGAUUCAUCAGUGCACUAGAUUUACACCAAUGUAAUAAUCAGCGAUAAAGUUUUACUUACACCUUGGAUAAGUGUUAUGUUCUUUCCAGGACAUUGUCAAAGUAUGCUAGUAUCAGAUGUAUGGAGUAUACAUUGGACUGGGACCGAUAUUGAUCUUAGUAAAGAUAUUAUAAUCUUACCGUUAUAUCUUUUUAAGUCAAUAUCACUGGUUGAUCUUAAAUCAAAAGAUAUUAAUCUUGAUAUGGUUAAAUUUGAUCUCAAGAGUGUUAUUUAUGUUCUUAGAGUUGUUCGUUAAAGCCUACCAAUUGGUUCAGGUAACACAUACAUCUUGGGAACAUGAUGGUAUAAUUGAGUGCGAAUGCUAAUCAUAUAUACGAAAUCUAUAGCUUCUAUCUAGACAUAGAAGUGAAAUGAUGAUUUCUUUCGAGCUUGACUUAAUAGAGAAAAAUAAAAGAGCUCUUAUUUCAAUAAUUAUAUUAGUUUACUGAAGUAUCAUUUAUAGGAAGUUAAGUAUUUUAAGAAUAAAAUACAUUGAGGGGUGGAACGGUAAAUUUGUCCUUACUUGAUGUAAAUCAUUUAUAGAGGAUCUUUGAUUAUUGGGAUUAAAACGAUAGAAAAUUCAUAACGUAUCUAUAUCGUGGAACAUAGAGAGUGUUCUAUAUAAUUAAGAGUGUAAUUCUUUAUCUAUAGUGGCACAAGGAGAAAUUAAUAAGUUGGAGAAUUUACUUGGUAAAUUCUAGAUGGAAUUUUUACACAAAAUGACUAUUUUGACCAAUUUUUAACAUUUAUAUUAUCCUUUCUAAUUUUUAACAUUUUUACUUUUUAAAAUUUUCUUUAAUACUUUUUUAAAGUUUUAUAAUUACAUAUUUAUCUUUUGUUCUUCUUCCUCAUAUCUAAACUCAUUCAAAUCUGGGUUCAACAAGUCUUCUCUUACUCUCUCAUCAAGCUUAUCGAGCUUUCACACUCGUCUUCGCACAAUCACCAUAUGUAGCUUCUCGUCAUCAGCCUCUUCUCAAGCCACCAUUGUCGUUCAAUCGAUGUUUGUAAGGUCUUCUUCUUCUUCUUCUUCUUCUUCUUCUUCUCAUUUUGCUAAAAUUACAAAAAUAAAAGUUUAGAUUUGAUAGUUUUUAUAAGAGUUUGUUGUUUAUUUGCUUAUUUAUUAUUGAUUUUUCUAUUUUUCUUACAGAUUUUAGGAAUUUUGUUCUUAUUCUGUUAGUUGAGUUCUUAUAUAUAUACAUAUAAAAGUACACUUGCUAGGUGUUUGAUGAAAUGCCCAAGAGAAUUCUUUACUAGCUUAAAGGAAUAAGGCACAUUCAAAUGUAAUUUUAUUUCAACUUUAAGUUAGCAUUUUCAUGGUAUUGUUUAGAUAUUACUUUUGCUGAUCUAUAUUUUAUCUUUUUUAUGAAUAAAAAAUUUUAUCUAAAUAUUUUAAUGGUUACGUUGAUUUAACGCGACUCUUCAUCGCGUUGACCGACGUGAAUAGUACCAUAUUAAAGAUAUUCGUCGUUUGUAAAAUGACACAAAUAAUAAAUGAUUUGCGUCGGUUGUAUAUCCCUCACAAAUUAGAUAACUGACGAAAAAAGUAUAAUGAUUAAAAAAAAUACAUAAUUAGCGUCAUUUUACAAGCCUCACAAAUUCUUUGUGUGUCGUUUUUAAACCGACGGUAAAGGAUUUGCUUAAGUGAGAAAAUGACGGAAACCCUCUUAGGUUCACUUACCCCCAAAUUUCUUACAGACCAAAAUCAUUCCUUCAUUCUGCGUGAACCCAUUUUGGUCAGCCGCCUCAGCUCCGAAGGUCACGCAAUUUUGCAGACAAAAUUUUUCUCCUCAGCUCACGCAAUUAUGCUCUACUGUGCCUCAGAUUUUUCCUCCGUCGGCGUCGUAAGUCCCCUACGUUCACGCUGUUGUGGUCUCGAUCUCCUUGACCUCCAAUGCAUUGCAUAAAAUGUUGAUUUUGGAAGUUUGGAACCAUGAGUAUUUUGUAAAGUUCACAAUUUUCUGUAGGUUAAAGUACCUGGGGGCGAGGGAAGCCAUCCAUAAUUGUUGACAUUGAUAAGGAUGAAGGUCUAAGUUCGAUGCUGCAAAAUUGAGAAAACUCAGACCGAAUUUCAAGUAGAGCAGGGGCUCUGUUACAGCUGGCAAUGCUUCUAUCAUAAGUGAUGGUGCGGCUGCAUUAGUCCUAGUGAGUGGAGAGAAAGCACUUCAACUUGGAUUGUAAGUAAUUGCAAAGAUUAAGAGAUUUGCUAAUGUAGCUUAGGCACUUGAAUUCUUCACAAUUGCUCCAGCCCUUGUGAUUCCAAAAUCCAUUUUAAAUGCUGGUUUAGAUGCUUCUCAGAUUGAUUACUAUGAAAUAAGCAUUUUUUUGUUAUAGCUCUAGCCAAUCAAAAGCUGCUUGGUUGUAAUCCUAAUGCCUUAAUGUACAUGGUGGGGCUGUAUCAUUGGGACACUCACUUGGAUACAGUGGAGCUAGUAUCUUGGUCACAUUGUUAGAGGUACUGAGACAUUAAAAUGUAAAGUACGGGGUUGGUGCCAUAUGCAAUGGUGGUGGGGGAGCUUCUUCACUUGUUCUUGAGCUCAUAAUUCAUUGCUAUUAAACUGUUGGACAGGUGAUGUUGGGUGUUGAUCGUCUUGACAUGAUCAAAGGAAUCCCACAGAAGAUUUUGGCUUUCGAAAAGUUCCUAGAGGAGAAUCCAAGCUGGCGUGAUAAAGUAGUUCUACUUCAAAUUGUUGUGCCAACAAGAACAGAUGUUCCAGAAUGUAUGUUCAUUAUCAAAAUAUGUUCUUACCCACUGUCUGUUAUGCCUAUUUUUUUUUUAAGUCUAUCUGUAGUUUGUUGUCUAAUGUUAUUUCAAUCAUAUGACUAUCAUUAAAUUUAUAUCAUCUCGAUCAAUUUAUAAAUAAUAGAGUUGUUUAUUAUUGUAUAAUACAGAUCAAAUACACACACAAUGUUAUUGGUAUUGUGUGAUUAGUUAAUAUAAUCGAUUGCUAAUUUUAUGUAAGUUUUAAAAAUUAACUUUUUUUUUUGGUAUUAUGUAUUUACUAUUAUAAAGAAUAAUUCUAAAAUUUGAUAAUGUAGGUGCAAAAAAUUGUAUGAAAAAUUUGCAAUUUUUCUUUAUUUAUAUUUGUGCUUCAUUUUAUAAGCGACGCAAUACGUAAAAAAACAAAAUAUUUUCGUAAUAGAUAUGACAUUUUUAAACCGACGUAAUAAGUUUUUUGUGACAGUUUUAAAAUGUCAUAAACAAUUUAGCGUUAUUUCUAAACCGACGCAGAAAAUAAAAUAGAAAAGAAAAUAUUUUGCGUCGGUUUGUAAAUGUAGAAAAUUGUUUUUUGCGUCGUUUCAAAAAUGACGCUAAUAAAAAACUAUUUGCGACUACGGUAUAUACGUCGGUUUUUUAAACCGACGUAAAUUCAUUAAAUGACACUUAAAAACCGACGAGAAUCAUACUUUUUGUAGUAGUGUAUAUUUUAUCUUUUUUAUGAAUAAAAAUUUUUAUCUAAAUAUUUUAAUGGUUACGUUGAUUUAACGUUGUUUAUAAGUUGUUUCAUAGUUGUUUCAUCUUUUAAUUUUUUUUAUUGUUGCUGUUUCACCAAGUCAUACAUUGAAGAGGCUUUUCAGGGAAAAAUGUGAGGUAAUGAUGAUAAGGUUACAACUUUAAAGAUUAAUGUAUUAGUUUUUGUUGUCUUUAUCUAGUUUCAAAGACUUGUUUUGUUAUGUUUAUAUUUUUUUUUCUGAUGUAUUUAGUUAACCUUAAAUGGUUUAUGUCUCUCAUUUUUUUCUGUUUCUAAUUAGUUAUUUUUUAGUUUUAAUUUAGUUAUUAUACGAUUCUUAUUCUAAGGUUCUUAAGUUUUUUUUAAAAAACUAGAUCAUUAGGCUACGUCUUACAUUUAUCAAUUGUAUUUGAAUUUGAAUUGGAAUUAUUUUAGUUGCAUGUUUAUUAAAUUUUAUAAAUUACAUUAUUUUUUAGUUGUUAUAUUGUUGUUUUAAUGUUGUUCGGUACAUGAUAUAUUGUAGUAUUAUAUAGCUAUUAAUCGUAUUUUUAUUGGUUCAUUGUUUUAUUAAUUUUGUCAUCCUAAUAUAUUUAGGUGCAUGAUAAGACCUCUGACGUUGUUGACAAGUUGAAGCUUUCAAAGAAAAAUAUUGUCAAGGACUUGAUUUCUAGUGAUGAUGAACUUCAAAGUUGAUCAGAAUAAACUUGUUGUUCAUUUCUAUUCCUUUGGUAGAAUGAAGUGAGUUGCAAACAUUGAAAGUGUACAAGAAAAUGUUUCAAAGUCUUUUAAGAAAGUUGAAGCCACUAUACAUGAAUUAAUGAUUGAGCAGUGUAUUUGGAGUUAUUUUAUGAUGCUAUUUAAAUAUUCUGUUACAGUGGAGUUAUUAUAUAUUUAUUUAUUUAUUGUUA